GCAUAUCAAUAAGCGGAGGAAAAGAAACCAACAGGGAUUGCCUCAGUAACGGCGAGUGAAGCGGCAACAGCUCAAAUUUGAAAUCUGGCCUCUUUGGGGUCCGAGUUGUAAUUUGUAGAGGAUGUUUCGGGUACCGCCUCGGUCUAAAUUUCUUGGAACAGAAUGUCAAAGAGGGUGAGAAUCCCGUCUUGGACCGGCGGUAGGGCCCAUGUGAAACUCCUUCGACGAGUCGAGUUGUUUGGGAAUGCAGCUCAAAAUGGGUGGUAAAUUUCAUCUAAAGCUAAAUAUUGGCCAGAGACCGAUAGCGCACAAGUAGAGUGAUCGAAAGAUGAAAAGCACUUUGAAAAGAGAGUUAAACAGUAUGUGAAAUUGUUGAAAGGGAAGCGCUUGCAACCAGACUUGAGCGCGGCGGUUCCCCCUUCCUUUUGGUUGGGUUACUCCGCCGUGUCCAGGCCAACAUCGGUUCUGGGGGUCGGUUAAAGGCUCGAGGAAUGUAUCUACUCCUUCGGGGGUAGACUUAUAGCCUCGGGUGUCAUGCGACCUCCCGGGACCGAGGAACGCGCUUCGGCUCGGAUGUUGGCGUAAUGGUUGUCAGCGACCCGUCUUGAAACACGGACCAAGGAGUCUAACAUCUAUGCGAGUGUUUGGGUGUCAAACCCGGAACGCGGAAUGAAAGUGAACGGAGGUAGGAAGCCGCAAGGCUGCACUAUCGACCGAUCCUGAUGUCUUCGGAUGGAUUUGAGUAAGAGCAUAGCUGUUGGGACCCGAAAGAUGGUGAACUAUGCCUGAAUAGGGUGAAGCCAGAGGAAACUCUGGUGGAGGCUCGCAGCGGUUCUGACGUGCAAAUCGAUCGUCAAAUUUGGGUAUAGGGGCGAAAGACUAAUCG
Molecule: ribosomal RNA, 886 nt
Filed under: Exophiala xenobiotica
Lineage: Eukaryota; Fungi; Ascomycota; Eurotiomycetes; Chaetothyriales; Herpotrichiellaceae
Description: LSU rRNA
Rfam family: Eukaryotic large subunit ribosomal RNA
Source: RNAcentral